CACUAUUUAAUUUUUCAUAAUUACAUCACAUAUAGAAAACAGAAUUGUGUAUUAUAUAUAGAGGCAAGUUUCCACGCUUCAGGGGAAAAAUAUUGGGGGUUCAACCUCUUUCCAAAACAAUCCUUAUACGCCACAGGUCGUCUGUGGGUUUGUCACAAUGAACCCGUAGUUAACCAAGAAAAAAAAAAUCUUAAAAAAAUAAAAUAAAAUUGGCAAGAGCGGCGUCUUAUCCUCCCCUUUUUGCACUCACCAACCAAAAUUUCUCUACAAAUUAAAUAAUACUUAGAAGAAUCAAAAGCCUGUAUGAAGAGGAAGCAUUAAGUAGAAACCCAACAUCAUAUAUCUUCACAUUAUUCUUUCAAAAUACGAAUCAAGGUAUGAAAUUUUAAACCCUAUACUUUUUGCAUUUUGGGGAUUUUUCAAUUCUCGAACUCAGGAUGAAUUUUGUGAAGAAAAAUGUGGAGAAUAUAACUACAUUGAUUGAUAGGAGUUGAAAGAUGUCUUUUGUUUGCCAAAAAUUACGAAAAAACAAAUAAUCCUUACAUUUUUUUUCCUUCGAACCCUGUCACGGUUGAAACUCGAUUUUGGUCCCCACCGUAACUGUAGCUUAGAAAAUGAUGAUUCCCAACUGAAAUUUGCUGAAAUAGUAACCAGUAAAAAGUAGAAAAUAGAAUGGGGAAGGGGAAAAUGAGAAAAUAAGAAGAAUGAAGGUGAGAAAAGCUGUUGAUUCAAUUAAUAAUUUCACUAAAAUUUUGCAGAAAACAUUACAUAGACCCCGACUUCCUCCCACAUGGUUGUACGUAUACAACUAACAAAAUAUAAAGUCGUGCUUUCCAAACCCAGAAGUAGAAGAUGGUUUUUAACAAAUAACAACAAUUUAUUUCAAGCAAGAUGACACCGUAUGGACUUAAUAAAAAACGACGUCGUAGGCACUUUCAAUUCCAGUUACCGCCACUGGUUUCUUCUCCUCUAUUUUUCCUCCUCUGUUUUUACUUUGAGACCCUUCUUUCCCCAUUGAUCUCCCUCAUGACAACCCUUCUCCUCACCUUGAUCCUGUCCCCAAGAUAUUUAAACAGGAAACUAGGCCUUAAUCCAAUCAACAUCUUUCCAUGUCACAAUUUUUGGUGGUAGUAGAUCUGACCAAUGAAUGAGCUAUUGUUCUACUAUUCGAUUUAUACGCUUCACUAAUUUGGAUUGUAGGAUUGCAAGGAGAUAAUGACCUACCUGUAGUGGCUGCUUUUCUUCAGGGAGUUGUAGGACUGGCAUUAUGUUGUCACCAAGUUUUUUCUUCAAGAGUGAAAUAUGGAAGACUUGUUGAAUUUUGAAGUCUCUAGGUAGUUCCAUUUGCUAAGCCACUGUCCCUACUUUCCUAGUAAUCUAUGAAAGGUUUUCCUUUAACUGAUGGUUUAAUUUGUAUCUCCAUAUCUCCACCACUAGUCUCUUUAUGUUUGUAUUCUGGAUAAAAG
This 1466-nucleotide long non-coding RNA is filed under the name Olea europaea (common olive). RNAcentral's name for it is "long non-coding RNA (OEUR_LNC005844)". Lineage: Eukaryota; Viridiplantae; Streptophyta; Magnoliopsida; Lamiales; Oleaceae. The record is from RNAcentral.